ACCCUUAGUAGAGCGGCGCACGGGUGCGUAACACGUGGAUAAUCUGCCUGGAUGCCUGGGAUAACCAGUCGAAAGAUUGGCUAAUACCGGAUAAGCCCACGGUCUCUUCGGAGACUGAGGGAAAAGGUGGCCUCUGUAUACAAGCUAUCACAACCAGAUGAGUCCGCGGCCCAUCAGCUAGUUGGCGGGGUAAUGGCCCACCAAGGCAACGACGGGUAGCUGGUCUGAGAGGACGAUCAGCCACACUGGAACUGAGACACGGUCCAGACUCCUACGGGAGGCAGCAGUGGGGAAUUUUGCGCAAUGGGCGAAAGCCUGACGCAGCAACGCCGCGUGUGUGAUGAAGGUCUUUGGAUUGUAAAGCACUUUCGACCGGGACGAAAACCCGAAGGCUAACAUCCUUCGGCUUGACGGUACCGGGAGAAGAAGCACCGGCUAACUCUGUGCCAGCAGCCGCGGUAAUACAGAGGGUGCAAGCGUUGUUCGGAAUUAUUGGGCGUAAAGCGCGUGUAGGCGGCUUUGCAAGUCGGGUGUGAAAGCCCUCAGCUCAACUGAGGAAGUGCGCCCGAAACUGCAGAGCUUGAGUGCCGGAGAGGGUGGCGGAAUUCCCCAAGUAGAGGUGAAAUUCGUAGAUAUGGGGAGGAACACCGGUGGCGAAGGCGGCCACCUGGACGGUAACUGACGCUGAGACGCGAAAGCGUGGGUAGCAAACAGGAUUAGAUACCCUGGUAGUCCACGCCGUAAACGAUGAGAACUAGGUGUCGUGGGAGUUGACCCCCGCGGUGCCGUAGCUAACGCAUUAAGUUCUCCGCCUGGGAAGUACGGUCGCAAGACUAAAACUCAAANGAAAUUGACGGGGGCCCGCACAAGCGGUGGAGCAUGUGGUUUAAUUCGACGCAACGCGCAGAAACCUUACCUGGUCUUGACAUCCUCGGAAUCCUUCAGAGAUGAGGGAGUGCCCGCAAGGGAACCGAGAGACAGGUGC
This 985-nucleotide ribosomal RNA is filed under the name Corallococcus exiguus. RNAcentral describes it as "bacterial SSU rRNA". It matches the Rfam family "Bacterial small subunit ribosomal RNA", at positions 83 to 1041 of the family's 1533-position model. The record is from RNAcentral. Lineage: Bacteria; Pseudomonadati; Myxococcota; Myxococcia; Myxococcales; Myxococcaceae.